This 112-nucleotide ribosomal RNA is filed under the name Caerostris extrusa. The record is from RNAcentral. Lineage: Eukaryota; Metazoa; Arthropoda; Arachnida; Araneae; Araneidae.
AACGGCCAUACCAUGCUGAAUAUACCGGUUCUCGUUAGAUCACCGAAGUCAAGCAUCAUUGGGCACGGUCGGUACUUGGGUGGGUGACCACCUGGGAACACCGCGUACCGUU